Molecule: non-coding RNA, 114 nt
Filed under: Acidobacteriota bacterium
Lineage: Bacteria; Pseudomonadati; Acidobacteriota
Description: Acidobacteria bacterium TPP sequence
Rfam family: TPP riboswitch aptamer (THI element)
About the family: Vitamin B(1) in its active form thiamin pyrophosphate (TPP) is an essential coenzyme that is synthesised by coupling of pyrimidine and thiazole moieties in bacteria. The previously detected thiamin-regulatory element, thi box was extended, resulting in a new, highly conserved RNA secondary structure, the THI element, which is widely distributed in eubacteria and also occurs in some archaea.
Source: RNAcentral
AGUUGCCGCCAGGGGUAUCCCGCCUUCGCGCCGUCGGCGCUUCGGCGGGGUUGAGACAAACCCUGGAACCUGAUCCGGUUCAGACCGGCGGAGGGAGAGCGGAAUGAGCAAGUC